This 698-nucleotide long non-coding RNA is filed under the name Gallus gallus (chicken). RNAcentral's name for it is "lncRNA (ENSGALG00010004400.1)". Lineage: Eukaryota; Metazoa; Chordata; Aves; Galliformes; Phasianidae. The record is from RNAcentral.
CAAAGGUAAGGUUUGAUCAACGUGGCAACUGGGUAGUUCCUGCCAGACAGAUAGGUGGUAACAACCCACAGGAAAUGUAUUACAAGCAGAGAAAAACGCACUCAGUUUUCAACCCUUCGGAUAGAGCCAAAGAAACGCCAUGGGUUAAGAAACACAUUUAAAACUAAAGCAAACAAACUAUAAACCUUCUCUGGCUAUUGAGCAGAGGAAACAUAUGGAGACAGAAUUAUCCCAGUGGAGUUUUCUUUGCUAGCAGAAGUGAGAGGAAGAAGCCGCAAGACGAGUGGUGAAUAAAAUCAGCCAUAGGGUCAUCUAGAACAAGAGACCCAUCGGACGGCUCGUACAGCUAUUUUUACUUUCUAAUAAAGAGAGGAUGUCACAUGAAUUGCCAGGAAAGCAAAUAUAUUCUUGAUGCUUUAACCUUGUUUAAGUUACUUAAUUUGCAUUCAAAAUUUAAAGAACCAGCCUCAAUCCAUGAAACGACCAGAGUGUAUGUGAGAGUGCCCCAUUUAAACUGGCUACACACAGGCAAGCCUGGUUCAGAUGAACAAAAAAGCAAGUAGAAGUGUCAUCGCUUCUGUAUAUUUCAGAUCAAUAAAGCAGAAAAGUUCAGAGAUGAACUUCAGAAGCACUUUUAUGAAAUACCCACUGAACAUGCACAAAUAAUGUUUUCAUCUUUGUUUACAGAAGAUUUGCAG